UUGGAGGGCAAGUCUGGUGCCAGCAGCCGCGGUAAUUCCAGCUCCAAUAGCGUAUAUUAAAGUUGUUGUGGUUAAAAAGCUCGUAGUUGAACCUUGGGCCUGGCUGGCCGGUCCGCCUCACCGCGUGCACUGGUCCGGCCGGGCCUUUCCCUCUGCGGAACCCCAUGCCCUUCACUGGGUGUGGCGGGGAAACAGGACUUUUACUUUGAAAAAACUUAGAGUGCUCAAGGCAGGCCUAUGCUCGAAUACAUUAGCAUGGAAUAAUAGAAUAGGA
This 274-nucleotide ribosomal RNA is filed under the name uncultured Ascomycota. Its description in RNAcentral is "partial 18S ribosomal RNA". It matches the Rfam family "Eukaryotic small subunit ribosomal RNA", at positions 548 to 827 of the family's 1831-position model. Lineage: Eukaryota; Fungi; Ascomycota. The record is from RNAcentral.